UACAGAGGGUGCGAACGUUGCUCGGAAUCACUGGGCGUAAAGCGCGUGUAGGCGGGCGAUCAAGUCAGGCGUGAAAUCCCCGGGCUCAACCCGGGAACUGCGUCUGAAACUGGUUGCCUUGAGUGUCGGAGAGGGAAGCGGAAUUCCUGGUGUAGAGGUGAAAUUCGUAGAUAUCAGGAGGAACACCGGUGGCGAAGGCGGCUUCCUGGACGACUACUGACGCUGAGACGCGAAAGCGUGGGGAGCAAACAGGAUUAGAAACCCCAGUAGUCC
Molecule: ribosomal RNA, 273 nt
Filed under: uncultured bacterium
Lineage: Bacteria
Description: partial 16S ribosomal RNA
Rfam family: Bacterial small subunit ribosomal RNA
Source: RNAcentral